This 447-nucleotide ribosomal RNA is filed under the name uncultured bacterium. Its description in RNAcentral is "partial 16S ribosomal RNA". It matches the Rfam family "Bacterial small subunit ribosomal RNA", at positions 330 to 792 of the family's 1533-position model. The record is from RNAcentral.
GCCAGACUCCUACGGGAGGCAGCAGUGGGGAAUAUUGGGCAAUGGGCGCAAGCCUGGCCCAGCAAUGCCGCGUGAAGGAAGAAGGCUUUCGGGUUGUAAACUUCUUUGACAGGGGAAGAGCAGAAGACGGUACCCUGAAAACAAGCCACGGCUAACUACGUGCCAGCAGCCGCGGUAAUACGUAGGUGGCAAGCGUUGUCCGGAUUUACUGGGUGUAAAGGGCGUGCAGCCGGGAAGACAAGUCAGAUGUGAAAUCCCGCGGCUCAACCGCGGAACUGCAUUUGAAACUGGUUUUCUUGAGUACCGGAGAGGUCAUCGGAAUUCCUUGUGUAGCGGUGAAAUGCGUAGAUAUAAGGAAGAACACCAGUGGCGAAGGCGGAUGACUGGACGGCAACUGACGGUGAGGCGCGAAAGCGUGGGGAGCAAACAGGAUUAGAUACCCGAGUA